Molecule: transfer RNA, 73 nt
Filed under: Cyathus jiayuguanensis
Lineage: Eukaryota; Fungi; Basidiomycota; Agaricomycetes; Agaricales; Nidulariaceae
Description: tRNA-Met
Rfam family: tRNA
About the family: Transfer RNA (tRNA) molecules are approximately 80 nucleotides in length. Their secondary structure includes four short double-helical elements and three loops (D, anti-codon, and T loops).
Source: RNAcentral
GCUGAUAUAGUUUAAUUGGUCAAAACCUACCAUUCAUGACGGUAAGAAAAAGGUUCGAUCCCUUUUAUUAGCU